This is a long non-coding RNA of Neodiprion fabricii, 778 nucleotides long. RefSeq lists it as uncharacterized. The record is from RefSeq and is a predicted model, not a curated record. The transcript is spliced from 2 exons. NCBI's taxonomy places the organism in Eukaryota, Metazoa, Arthropoda, Insecta, Hymenoptera, Diprionidae.
AAUUCAAAAUAACCACUCUAAGUUAUAUCUGAUUCUGUACCAAAAUCCAACGAAGUUUGUCGUCACUCGUGUUACACAUUUUGCAACAAGAUAUAUUUCGUUUGCCACUGUAUUAAAGAUUCUUACUUACUAGAACGUGCUUCUUCUCAGUGUGAUCGAUAGAAUCGAUGGAAAAGUUGAAUAAGUCAACGGGUAGACUCGGCGAAAUGCUCUUACAAAUUUCAAAGGUCAAUCUAAUCUGAUGCGAUGUUUUUUAUGUUGAUAUUGAAGCUGUGCGAUGUAUUGACUCAUUGUUUCUAAAGUAUUUUAAUUAUCAUCGACUCUUGCGAUCAUCGGUAUUCCCAAAACAUUAUUUAUACUUGACCCUCUGCGGUACCCCUGAGUCUUCUGAAGCACAACCUGAAUUUUUUCCUUAAAUAUCUCCGAUAUGCAAGAAGAGCUGGACCUGGCUCCGGUCCCUAAACAAAGUUAUUGGUAGUGAGGACUUGAGAGCUAAGAGACGACUAAGUCCGGCAGUCUGUUGGUAAAUAGUAAUAAAGAGUACAAAUCAAUUGUGUGCCAUGAAAGACCCAGGAGUUUGGCGGCAUUAGUGGUUUGCAAUAGUAUGGCAGAGAGGAGCACCGAGGAAGUACGUCAUUAUUCCAGAAUUUUGAUGAGGCUUUUGACGAAGAAGAGGACGGAAAAGAAGUUGAAGAGUUAUUUCCGACAGUCAGAAUGCCGAUCAAGAUUAUCUCAUUUUCGAAUGUCUAAAUAAAUAUACUUUUUUGAGCCGUGGAAA